GAUGAACGCUGGCGGCGUGCCUAAUACAUGCAAGUCGAACGAAACUUCUUUAUCACCGAGUGCUUGCACUCACCGAUAAAGAGUUGAGUGGCGAACGGGUGAGUAACACGUGGGCAACCUGCCCAAAAGAGGGGGAUAACACUUGGAAACAGGUGCUAAUACCGCAUAACCAUAGUUACCGCAUGGUAACUAUGUAAAAGGUGGCUAUACUACCGCUUUUGGAUGGGCCCGCGGCGCAUUAGCUAGCUGGUAGGGUAAAGGCUUACCAAAGCAUUGACGGGUCGCCGGACUGAGAGGGUGACCGGCCACAUUAGGACUGAGGUGAGGCCCCGGCGCGUACGGUAGGCAGCAGGGGGGAAGACUGCAGAAUGGGCGGAAGGCUGAUGAAGCAACUCUGCGUGCCGGAUGACCGUCUUCUGGGAGUAAAACGCUCUCGCCUGUGACGGUGCGCGAGUGACGGUAAUGGAUACAGAAGCACCGGCUUACCUCCGU
This 492-nucleotide ribosomal RNA is filed under the name uncultured bacterium. Its description in RNAcentral is "partial 16S ribosomal RNA". It matches the Rfam family "Bacterial small subunit ribosomal RNA", at positions 28 to 506 of the family's 1533-position model. The record is from RNAcentral.